AUUGAACGCUGGCGGCAGGCCUAACACAUGCAAGUCGAGCGGAUGAAGGGAGCUUGCUCCUGGAUUCAGCGGCGGACGGGUGAGUAAUGCCUAGGAAUCUGCCUGGUAUUGGGGGAUAACGUCCGGAAACGGGCGCUAAUACCGCAUACGUCCUGAGGGUGAAAGUGGGGGAUCUUCGGACCUCACGCUAUCAGAUGUGCCUAGGUCGGAUUAGCUAGUUGGUGGGGUAAAGGCCUACCAAGGCGACGAUCCGUAACUGGUCUGAGAGGAUGAUCAGUCACACUGGAACUGAGACACGGUCCAGACGACUACGGGAGGCAGCAGUGGGGAAUAUUGGACAAUGGGCGAAAGCAUGAUCCAGCAAAGCCGCGUGUGUGAAGAAGGUCUUCGGAUUGUAAAGCACUUUAAGUAGGGAGGAAGGGAAGUAAGUUAAUAACUUGCUGUAUUGACGUUACCAACAGAAUAAGCACCGGCUAACUACGUG
This 484-nucleotide ribosomal RNA is filed under the name uncultured bacterium. RNAcentral describes it as "partial 16S ribosomal RNA". It matches the Rfam family "Bacterial small subunit ribosomal RNA", at positions 30 to 507 of the family's 1533-position model. The record is from RNAcentral.